GAUGAACGCUGACAGAAUGCUUAACACAUGCAAGUCAACUUGAAUUUGGGUUUUUAACUUAGGUUUGGGUGGCGGACGGGUGAGUAACGCGUAAAGAACUUGCCUCACAGCUAGGGACAACAUUUGGAAACGAAUGCUAAUACCUAAUAUUAUGAUAAUAGGGCAUCCUAUAAUUAUGAAAGCUAUAAGCGCUGUGAGAGAGCUUUGCGUCCCAUUAGCUAGUUGGAGAGGUAACGGCUCACCAAGGCGAUGGUGGGUAGCCGGCCUGAGAGGGUGAUCGGCCACAAGGGGACUGAGACACGGCCCUUACUCCUACGGGAGGCAGCAGUGGGGAAUAUUGGACAAUGGACCGAGAGUCUGAUCCAGCAAUUCUGUGUGCACGAUGAAGUUUUUCGGAAUGUAAAGUGCUUUCAGUUGGGAAGAAACAAAUGACGGUACCAACAGAAGAAGUGACGGCUAAAUACGUG
This 467-nucleotide ribosomal RNA is filed under the name uncultured bacterium. Its description in RNAcentral is "partial 16S ribosomal RNA". It matches the Rfam family "Bacterial small subunit ribosomal RNA", at positions 28 to 507 of the family's 1533-position model. The record is from RNAcentral.